This 629-nucleotide ribosomal RNA is filed under the name Salmonella enterica subsp. enterica serovar Indiana. RNAcentral's name for it is "partial 23S ribosomal RNA". It matches the Rfam family "Bacterial large subunit ribosomal RNA", at positions 2249 to 2872 of the family's 2925-position model. Lineage: Bacteria; Pseudomonadati; Pseudomonadota; Gammaproteobacteria; Enterobacterales; Enterobacteriaceae. The record is from RNAcentral.
GGACAGUGUCUGGUGGGUAGUUUGACUGGGGCGGUCUCCUCCUAAAGAGUAACGGAGGAGCACGAAGGUUGGCUAAUCCUGGUCGGACAUCAGGAGGUUAGUGCAAUGGCAUAAGCCAGCUUGACUGCGAGCGUGACGGCGCGAGCAGGUGCGAAAGCAGGUCAUAGUGAUCCGGUGGUUCUGAAUGGAAGGGCCAUCGCUCAACGGAUAAAAGGUACUCCGGGGAUAACAGGCUGAUACCGCCCAAGAGUUCAUAUCGACGGCGGUGUUUGGCACCUCGAUGUCGGCUCAUCACAUCCUGGGGCUGAAGUAGGUCCCAAGGGUAUGGCUGUUCGCCAUUUAAAGUGGUACGCGAGCUGGGUUUAGAACGUCGUGAGACAGUUCGGUCCCUAUCUGCCGUGGGCGCUGGAGAACUGAGGGGGGCUGCUCCUAGUACGAGAGGACCGGAGUGGACGCAUCACUGGUGUUCGGGUUGUCAUGCCAAUGGCACUGCCCGGUAGCUAAAUGCGGAAGAGAUAAGUGCUGAAAGCAUCUAAGCACGAAACUUGCCCCGAGAUGAGUUCUCCCUGAGACUUUAGGUCUCCUGAAGGAACGUUGAAGACGACGACGUUGAUAGGCCGGGUGUGUAA